RNAcentral lists this ribosomal RNA (467 nucleotides) under Ovis aries (sheep). RNAcentral's name for it is "partial 12S ribosomal RNA". The record is from RNAcentral. Lineage: Eukaryota; Metazoa; Chordata; Mammalia; Artiodactyla; Bovidae.
UAUAGGUUUGGUCCCAGCCUUCCUGUUAACUUUCAAUAGACUUAUACAUGCAAGCAUCCACGCCCCGGUGAGUAACGCCCUUCGAAUCACACAGGACUAAAAGGAGCAGGUAUCAAGCACACACUCUUGUAGCUCACAACGCCUUGCUUAACCACACCCCCACGGGAGACAGCAGUAACAAAAAUUAAGCCAUAAACGAAAGUUUGACUAAGCCAUAUUGACUAGGGUUGGUAAAUCUCGUGCCAGCCACCGCGGUCAUACGAUUGACCCAAGCUAACAGGAGUACGGCGUAAAGCGUGUUAAAGCAUCAUACUAAAUAGAGUUAAAUUUUAAUUAAACUGUAAAAAGCCAUAAUUAUAACAAAAAUAAAUGACGAAAGUAACCCUACAAUAGCUGAUGCACCAUAGCUAAGACCCAAACUGGGAUUAGAUACCCCACUAUGCUUAGCCCUAAACACAAAUAAUUAU